RNAcentral lists this ribosomal RNA (460 nucleotides) under uncultured bacterium. RNAcentral describes it as "partial 16S ribosomal RNA". It matches the Rfam family "Bacterial small subunit ribosomal RNA", at positions 338 to 795 of the family's 1533-position model. The record is from RNAcentral.
CCUACGGGCGGCAGCAGUGAGGAAUAUUGGUCAAUGGGCGCGAGUCUGAACCAGCCAAGUAGCGUGAAGGAUGACUGCCCUACGGGUUGUAAACUUCUUUUAUAAAGGCAUAAAUUCAGGCACGUGUGCCUUUUUGUAUGUAUUUUAUGAAUAAGGAUCGGCUAACUCCGUGCCAGCAGCCGCGGUAAUACGGAGGAUCCGAGCGUUAUCCGGAUUUAUUGGGUUUAAAGGGAGCGUAGAUGGGUUGUUAAGUUAGUUGUGAAAGUGUGCGGCUCAACCGUGACAUUGCAAUUGAUACUGGCAGCCUUGAGUACAGUUGAGGUAGGCGGAAUGCGUGGUGUAGCGGUGAAAUGCUUAGAGAUCACGAAGAACUCCGAUUGCGAAGGCAGCCUACUAAACUGCCACUGACAUUGAUGCUCGAAAGUGUGGGUAUCAAACAGGAUUAGAUACCCCGGUAGUC